Molecule: small nucleolar RNA, 199 nt
Filed under: Soboliphyme baturini
Lineage: Eukaryota; Metazoa; Nematoda; Enoplea; Dioctophymatida; Soboliphymatidae
Description: Small nucleolar RNA U3
Rfam family: Small nucleolar RNA U3
About the family: Small nucleolar RNAs (snoRNAs) are involved in the processing and modification of rRNA in the nucleolus. There are two main classes of snoRNAs: the box C/D class, and the box H/ACA class.
Source: Rfam by way of RNAcentral
GAAACCUUACUUCACAGGAUCAUUUCUGUAGUAGGAAUUUCCGAAAUACAACUCUCGCCAACCAACACGAAUCACUGCGAUGAAGAUGCGAGGCUUCCUUUCUUGAGCAGGAAGCGUGGAUCGAAUACGGCCUUGUGUUCUUUCCAAUUGAUGACUGCGCCGACGGUUAGUCGGUAGGGAAGGAAGAUUUCUGAGCAGC